Legionella pneumophila subsp. pneumophila is the source of this 82-nucleotide small RNA. It matches the Rfam family "Legionella RNA 69". Lineage: Bacteria; Pseudomonadati; Pseudomonadota; Gammaproteobacteria; Legionellales; Legionellaceae. The record is from Rfam.
AGACGAUGCUUAGGCAUCUCCUCAGCCCGAACGAACCCUGCAUAUCGACUGCUUCUUAUAUAAUCCUUAUCCAUAAUUCAUG